UAUUUCGUAUUUAAGUAUGAUUUUGAAAUAAUCUUGAAUGGGCAGUUAUAAUUAUGAAAUUUAUGAUUUUUUUUUCUGCACGAAUAGAUCUUAAAUGACACUGUGAUUCCUAUUUCAAUGUAUUAAUUAAGCGUGUUAGUGUUGACAUUGUGAUGAUAUAUAUGUAAAAUCAUUUAUCAAGGCCUCUCUACCAAAGUCAAUAAUAUUGAUUAACUAAACUCGUUGAUCAUGAAGAAACCAAAUAAUAUAAUCACCUUCUGGAUAUAGUUGAUGACAUUCUGGUCUGUAAGAUUGUUCCCGUGUUCAUCUUUCACAUGGAAUACUGCAAAUUCAAAGCACGCGCACAAAUUAUUAUUGGUCAUAAAAUAUUGAUUAUUUUAUGAAAUAAAAGUACUUGGAUUAAUUGAAUCAUAUAGAUAUAUAUAAGAGAAUUAAUGCAUAUAUAUAAUAUAUAUAUAUAUUUACCAUCCAUGAACCAUCCUGCAUCAGAAGAAAUAUAACUUUUAGAGAUGGUGAAUCAAUCAGAGUAGCAGGAAGUUAUAUUACCAUUUUGGCACCCAACAAUGCAUUGACAAAAGCCUACAGGGUAGAUAAGUUGAGAACACAUAACAAUGACAUUCAACUCAUAUGGCUUCACAGCAGCAGAUAACAGAAGAAGCAGUAUAUCUUUGCACAGGAAAUCCAGGGGCUGGGAGAGCUUAAUAGAGAAGGUUUGAAGAAGAUGCCUCUUUGU
Molecule: non-coding RNA, 733 nt
Organism: Prunus avium (sweet cherry)
Lineage: Eukaryota; Viridiplantae; Streptophyta; Magnoliopsida; Rosales; Rosaceae
Source: RefSeq, a predicted model, not a curated record